GAUGAAGAACGCAGCGAAAUGCGAUACGUAAUGUGAAUUGCAGAAUUCAGUGAAUCAUCGAAUCUUUGAACGCACAUUGCGCUCUCUGGUAUUCCGGAGAGCAUGCUUGUUUGAGUAUCAGUAAACACCUCAACUCCUUUAUUGUAGUUGGACUUGAGCUAUCCCAACAGGACUUUUUGUUCCUGGCGGGAGGCUUGAAAUGCGGGUGCAGCUGGACUUUCUUCUGAGCUAUAAGCAUAUUUAUUUAAUCCCUUAACACGGAUUAUUACUUUUUUGCUGCAGCUAACAUAAAGGUUGAAUUUCCAUUGAGCUGACUGAUGCAGGAAUUUGGCAAGGAAUUUUUUUAAUGACUUGUUAAACUCGAUCUCAAAUCAAGUAAGACUACCCGCUGAACUUAAGCAUAUCAAUAAGCGGAGGA
This 418-nucleotide unclassified non-coding RNA is filed under the name soil metagenome. RNAcentral describes it as "partial contains 5.8S ribosomal RNA, internal transcribed spacer 2, and large subunit ribosomal RNA". The stretch from base 1 to 120 matches the Rfam family "5.8S ribosomal RNA", at positions 35 to 154 of the family's 154-position model. The record is from RNAcentral.